GCGAACUAAUUGAGAAGGGCUUCCGGGAUUUGUUUCGGGGGCCUUUUUCUUUGCCGUGUGAGUUUGGCCUGUUCACC
Molecule: unclassified non-coding RNA, 77 nt
Filed under: Rhizobium mesoamericanum STM3625
Lineage: Bacteria; Pseudomonadati; Pseudomonadota; Alphaproteobacteria; Hyphomicrobiales; Rhizobiaceae
Description: ctRNA_p42d
Source: RNAcentral